AGAUCUUAUUGCAUUGCAAAAUCUCUAGAGAAGAAGAGCAGCAGUUGGGGUUAUUACUUUGUUACAAAUGGAAGACCCUGAACUUUGAGAGUUAUUGUAUUAUUCUGCCAUUUAAGUCAAAAUAAUACUACUUUGAUUUUAUAGAACACCUUAUCAACAUGAAAUAAGCCUUGUAACAUCCAUGCUGAGUGCAGAGCCUGGUUAUCCAUCUAUGGACAUCUGCACAGCAAGGUUUAAACUUGUGUAACCUACUGGCAAUGCUUUCAAGCUUAUGUGAUAGAAUACCUAACAUCAUAGCUACCAAGAAUGCACUGAAACUUUGCUACUCCUAUAAAGGUUUCCGAAAGUGGAUACUUCACUGAAUAUGUAUAGUUCAGAUGAAACAGCAUAUUAAGAGCUCUGUCCAAGAAAUAGGCUACCUGCUGGCCACAACUAGAGGUCGCUGGACUCGGCAGAGCCCAGCUUGCAAGUAGAAGACAGGGGAGGGGGAGGGAGCUGGAGUGUUCCCAGCAGCAGCAGCGUACCCAGCAUGCCCUGAAGGAAGAAGGCAGCAUGCAGGAAACUCCACACAAGCAACAGGAACCCAGCAUCACACUAUUUCUCCAUCUGGAUCCUGGGCUCCAGUGUUCCC
This is a long non-coding RNA of Mauremys mutica (yellowpond turtle), 631 nucleotides long. RefSeq lists it as uncharacterized. The transcript is spliced from 3 exons. NCBI's taxonomy places the organism in Eukaryota, Metazoa, Chordata, Testudines, Geoemydidae. The record is from RefSeq and is a predicted model, not a curated record.